UACGAAGGGGGCUAGCGUUGUUCGGAAUCACUGGGCGUAAAGCGCACGUAGGCGGAUUUGUCAGUCAGGGGUGAAAUCCCGGAGCUCAACUUCGGAACUGCCUCUGAUACAGCAAGUCUUGAGUUCGAGAGAGGUGGGUGGAAUUCCUAGUGUAGAGGUGAAAUUCGUAGAUAUUAGGAAGAACACCGGUGGCGAAGGCGGCCCACUGGCUCGAUACUGACGCUGAGGUGCGAAAGCGUGGGGAGCAAACAGG
Molecule: ribosomal RNA, 253 nt
Filed under: uncultured bacterium
Lineage: Bacteria
Description: partial 16S ribosomal RNA
Rfam family: Bacterial small subunit ribosomal RNA
Source: RNAcentral